Molecule: transfer RNA, 69 nt
Filed under: Ictidomys tridecemlineatus (thirteen-lined ground squirrel)
Lineage: Eukaryota; Metazoa; Chordata; Mammalia; Rodentia; Sciuridae
Description: Spermophilus tridecemlineatus (thirteen-lined ground squirrel) tRNA
Rfam family: tRNA
About the family: Transfer RNA (tRNA) molecules are approximately 80 nucleotides in length. Their secondary structure includes four short double-helical elements and three loops (D, anti-codon, and T loops).
Source: Rfam by way of RNAcentral
GGAUUUGGGGCUCACUGGUAGAGCACUCACCUUGCAACUGUGAGGCCCUGGGUUCCAUCCCCAGCACCA